CAGUAGCCGCGGUAAUACGAAGGGGGCUAGCGUUGUUCGGAUUUACUGGGCGUAAAGCGCACGUAGGCGGAUCGAUCAGUCAGGGGUGAAAUCCCAGAGCUCAACUCUGGAACUGCCUUUGAUACUGUCGAUCUGGAGUAUGGAGGAGGUGAGUGGAAUUCCGAGUGUAGAGGUGAAAUUCGUAGAUAUUCGGAGGAACACCAGUGGCGAAGGCGGCUCACUGGUCCAUUACUGACGCUGAGGUGCGAAAGCGUGGGGAGCAAACAGGAUUAGAUACCCGUGUAGUCCCUGUCUCUUAUAC
RNAcentral lists this ribosomal RNA (301 nucleotides) under uncultured bacterium. RNAcentral's name for it is "partial 16S ribosomal RNA". It matches the Rfam family "Bacterial small subunit ribosomal RNA", at positions 509 to 807 of the family's 1533-position model. The record is from RNAcentral.